AACAUAUUGAACGAUACAGGUGCUGCGGUUCGACAAAGCGAUGCGCGUCGGGCCCCGGCUUAAUAGGGAAGACGGUGCGAAUCCGUCGCGGUCCCGCCACUGUAAGAAGCGCUUCCGGAGCAAUGGUCAUCACCGUUCCGGCAGCAAGUACCCGGCAGAACAGGCGCUCUGUAGAGAGCGGCCUUUUCUAUGUCCACUGGGACGAAUGUCCCGGGAAGGCCGCCGAGGUAUACGGCUUCCAGCCAGGAGACCUGCCUGUAUCGCAGCACAUUC
RNAcentral lists this non-coding RNA (273 nucleotides) under Paenibacillus dendritiformis. The record is from RNAcentral. Lineage: Bacteria; Bacillati; Bacillota; Bacilli; Caryophanales; Paenibacillaceae. RNAcentral also lists the same sequence under 1 other name.